Molecule: transfer RNA, 64 nt
Filed under: Pupa strigosa
Lineage: Eukaryota; Metazoa; Mollusca; Gastropoda; Acteonidae
Description: tRNA-Leu (CUN)
Source: RNAcentral
GAUGCUUUGGCAGAAUGAUAUGCACUUGAUUUAGGUUCAAGCUAUAAUAGAUAAUUAGGCAUCU